GUAGUCUCGCACAGACUGCAUAUCAAUAAGCGGAGGAAAAGAAACUAACAAGGAUUCCCUUAGUAACGGCGAGUGAAGCGGGAAGAGCUCAAAUUUGAAAUCUUCAAGGUUUUACCUUGACGAAUUGUAGUUUAAAGAAGUGUUUUCUGUUGAAGUUUUGGUAAAAGUUCUUUGGAAUAGGACAUCAUAGAGGGUGAGGAAUCCCGUAUUUGACCAUUAUUUUCAGCUGUGUGAUACACUUUCAAAGAGUCGGAUUGUUUGGGAAUGCAGUCCAAAAUGGGUGGUAAAUUUCAUCUAAAGCUAAAUAUUGGCGAGAGACCGAUAGCGAACAAGUACCGUGAGGGAAAGAUGAAAAGAACUUUGAAAAGAGAGUUAAACAGUACGUGAAAUUGUCAAAAGGGAAGCGUUUGACACCAGUGUUGUUUUCUCGAAAAUCAAUUAAAAAGAGUUUGAUUUUGUUGUGUAUUGACCUUAACAGCUUGCAUUUCAAUUUUCUUGCUUUUUUUAAUGCACUUUUCGUUUAACAAGUCAAUAUCAGUUUCUUUUGUUGUAAAAAGGUCAUUGGAAGGUGGCUUUCUUUUCGGAGAAAGUGUUUAUAGUCCUUUGACUCCUGCAAUCGGAGAGACUGAGGUCUGCAGCGUAGAUCCUUCGGGGUUAGAUACAUUUGUGCUAAGUUAUAGCUUUUUAUAGACAACUUGUUGACUAUGAUUAGUCUUGUAGCUUACUCGCUUAUGCUAUUUUACCUACGCUUAGGAUGUUGAGCGCAUGUCUCUCUCU
This 777-nucleotide ribosomal RNA is filed under the name uncultured Neocallimastigales. RNAcentral describes it as "partial large subunit ribosomal RNA". It matches the Rfam family "Eukaryotic large subunit ribosomal RNA", at positions 24 to 616 of the family's 3401-position model. Lineage: Eukaryota; Fungi; Neocallimastigomycota; Neocallimastigomycetes; Neocallimastigales. The record is from RNAcentral.